CAGAGAGAAUCGUAAGCAGGCUCCAUGCUCAGCGAGGAGCCGGACAGGGUAGGGAGCUCAAUCUCACGACCCUGGGAUCACGACCUGAGCGGAAAUCAGGAGUGCAACGCUCACAGGACAGAGACACGUGGCCGCCCCUCCCCGUGCCUUUACAAGAACCCUGAGCACUAGGCAUGGACGCUGCCUGCCUGCGCAUCCUGUCGCUUCCCCCGUCAGCUGGUCACGCGAUUAGGCUAAGUGGGGACAACUGCUCACUGGCAGUUUCUUCAAGUCUCACCUUCGAACCUGCAGCAAGAACCCCACCGGUGUCACAGGGCGCCGGAGGCAGAGACGAGGUCAUCCGGGCAGCGGGCACCAGCCCAGCCCGCAUGCGCACUGCGGCUCCGCACCAUGGCUCCACCUCCUGCUCGCCUGGCCCCGUCUCGACCGGGCACCUGCUGUGGAUUUGAUCGGCUAGACUGUACCCUCCCCGGGACACAGCUUCGGGUGCUUUCCCUCUGGAUGCUGGCACCGCAGCCUUAGCCCGGUCACAGGCAGACAAAAUGAGGGGGAUGGAGACAGACUUUGAAUCACAGAUCCAUCUUUUGGAGAUUUUCCUCCUUUUAUGCGCCGCGAGAGAGAACAGGAACCCAGCCCCAGAACUGCAGUAUCGGGGAGCGUCGCUAAAAUUCGGCACAGCCAGGCUGGGGAAGAAACACUCUGCCCGCUCCGCGAGGGCCAUCUUGCCACCUUCAAUCGAGCACCAAGGAGACAGAGAUGAUACUAAAGGAAAAUUUAUUUGGGAAAAAUGAACCACAUUUAUUUUUUGAGGCACCUAAAAGACUAGAAAUAAAUUGUGAGUGAUGGUCCGCAUUUAUUCUUUUUUAUUAUCAUUACUAUUCAGAGCGGCCUGCCUCACGCUGAUUACACCCUUUUCACAGCAGGCCCCAAGACAAUUCGUCUCCCUUUGUCACGGCCAAGGCCCUUUUCCCCCUUUGCUAGAGUUGAAAAGGACAAACUAGGGACUCUUAAGGCCUCGGUGUUGGAGGCUGUCAAGAAAAUGACACAGGCCAUUAUUUCUAGACUCUUGAAAUGGCGUUUCCCGAAUUUCGGUGUAUUUCAUGACAAACACACCAGGUUCCAGGAACAGCACGUCAUUACCGUGUGAUGCUGAAAUCACUUCGGCCUCAGCUAAAGAGAAAGCCGAUAAUCAGAAGCAGUGUGCUGCAGGGAGGGGCGCCUGGGUGGCUCAGUCGGUUGAGGGGCUGGCUCUUGAUUUCGGCUCAGGUCACGAUCUCACGGUCGUGAGAUCGAGCCCCGCGUCCGGACCCGUGCUCAGGGUGGAGCCUGCUGAAGACGCUCUCUCUCUCUCCCCCUCCCUGGCCUGCGCAUGCGCACGCCCUC
Molecule: long non-coding RNA, 1383 nt
Organism: Acinonyx jubatus (cheetah)
Lineage: Eukaryota; Metazoa; Chordata; Mammalia; Carnivora; Felidae
Exons: 3
Source: RefSeq, a predicted model, not a curated record